Non-coding RNA from Physcomitrium patens, 1445 nucleotides. The record is from RefSeq and is a predicted model, not a curated record. NCBI's taxonomy places the organism in Eukaryota, Viridiplantae, Streptophyta, Bryopsida, Funariales, Funariaceae.
UCAAUGCUUGCGAAAGCUUUGUUGAUCGUCGUCGCAGCCGAAAUCCUCAGAGCGGAAGAAGAAGAAGGAGCAUUUUGCAAAGGAAUUGAGGAGAUUGUCGAGCGGAUAGCAUGCAGAAGUACGAUCUCUUUCGUAGUUCGCCGGAAUUUUCUUUUGCUUAGAAGGUAAUAGAGCGUUGAGCAGGAUAGGGAUCGCGCACGCGCGCGCGAGAGAGCGCGAGAGCGAGAGAUUGAGAGAGUAGUGUUGCGGAUUUGUUAGGCGUUGAAAUGAGGAAAGCAUUGCCAUGGCUUAAGAUGUCUCCCUUGCUACGGCCUCUUGCGUAUGUGCAAGCGCAACGUAACGUGCCGCUGCUUGUCCCUUCCCUCACCUGCGCUGCGCACAAUGCUCCUGGCGAGAUUCGUGGUGCGUGUGAGAAGGAGAGAGUCUAUUGGCACGGUCUACGUGAAUGCCGCUACAUCAGUUCACCACCAAUGACAGAGGAUGAAGAAGGUGAAGCAGAAGUAGUGUUGUUCAGAGAAGUGUUUGGCGAAGACGGAGAGAGUGUUGAUACUUGGAAGGCUGAAGAAAGGUUGUUUAGUGCGACUACUGCAGACCGUAAGAGAGAACUAGGAUCAGUCGCAGACUUGGACUGGUUGAGACUGACGGACCGGGAGCUUCAGGCGCAAUGUAGGGUAGAGACUCUACGAUCUUCUGGUCCAGGAGGGCAACAUAGGAAUAAAACUGAAAGUGCUGUGCGGCUGCUACAUCUGCCAACUGGACUCGUGUCAUUCGCAGCAGAGGACCGGUCCCAACAUAAGAAUCGAACCAAGGCUUUCAAGAGGUUAAGGGAGGUGAUCGCUGUGACAGUUAGGCAGCCAGUGGAAUUGAAGAGAUACCAAAUUCCACCUGACCUGAUGCGCAUAUUGCCCUCCACCCCUCAGACACGAAGUAAGAGAGGGGGGGGGGGGGGAGCAGAUUGGCCCAAAUCAUUUUAAUUUUGUCCUGGGAAUUCAGCCUUUGCUUGACUUGCUUGAGGCUACGAAAGGCUCUAUCUCGGAAUGUGCUGCAAUUCUUGGGCUUAGCACUGCGGCACUUGCAAGACUUACAGUAUCAAACAAAGUGCUAUGGAAGGGAGUUAACACUCUGCGAGCAUCUUAUAAUUUGAAGCCGAUUCGUGGAGAUUGAGUUUCUCUGCCUUGCUUGGAGGAGAACUUAUCAAAUCGUGAGCUAGGGGCUUCCUGCUAGAUUUUACCUUGACGUGAUACAGCCAUAUUAAUAUCAAGUAGACAUCUCUGAGGUACUGUACGUCUGGAUUUAAUAUAUGCUACACAUGGGAUCGUAAUUCUGAAGCGAGGCACGUUGAAACUUCAUUGUGAGCAUCAAACAAGGACUUCAAACAUCAUGUUAUUAUCUCUAAGCGAGGGUUGUCUUUAAAAUGCAUGUCUUUUGAGCAUCUCUUGCACCUA